This 930-nucleotide ribosomal RNA is filed under the name uncultured bacterium. RNAcentral's name for it is "bacterial SSU rRNA". It matches the Rfam family "Bacterial small subunit ribosomal RNA", at positions 8 to 916 of the family's 1533-position model. The record is from RNAcentral.
AGAGUUUGAUCAUGGCUCAGGACGAACGCUGGCGGCGUGCCUAAAACAUGCAAGUCGAGCGGAUGAUGAGAGAAGCUUGCUUCUCUCUGAUUUAGCGGCGGACGGGUGAGUAACACGUGGGUAACCCACUUUAUAGAUUGGGAUAACUCCGGGAAACCGGGGCUAAUACCGAAUAAUACUUUUAAACACAUGUUUGAAAGUUGAAAGACGGCUUCGGCUGUCACUAUAAGAUGGACCCGCGGCGCAUUAGCUAGUUGGUGAGGUAACGGCUCACCAAGGCAACGAUGCGUAGCCGACCUGAGAGGGUGAUCGGCCACACUGGGACUGAGACACGGCCCAGACUCCUACGGGAGGCAGCAGUAGGGAAUCUUCCACAAUGGACGAAAGUCUGAUGGAGCAACGCCGCGUGAGUGAAGAAGGAUUUCGGUUCGUAAAACUCUGUUGCAAGGGAAGAACAAGUAGCGUAGUAACUGGCGCUACCUUGACGGUACCUUGUUAGAAAGCCACGGCUAACUACGUGCCAGCAGCCGCGGUAAUACGUAGGUGGCAAGCGUUGUCCGGAAUUAUUGGGCGUAAAGCGCGCGCAGGUGGUUCCUUAAGUCUGAUGUGAAAGCCCCCGGCUCAACCGGGGAGGGUCAUUGGAAACUGGGGAACUUGAGUGCAGAAGAGGAUAGUGGAAUUCCAAGUGUAGCGGUGAAAUGCGUAGAGAUUUGGAGGAACACCAGUGGCGAAGGCGACUGUCUGGUCUGUAACUGACACUGAGGCGCGAAAGCGUGGGGAGCAAACAGGAUUAGAUACCCUGGUAGUCCACGCCGUAAACGAUGAGUGCUAAGUGUUGGGGGGUUUCCGCCCCUCAGUGCUGCAGCUAACGCAUUAAGCACUCCGCCUGGGGAGUACGGUCGCAAGACUGAAACUCAAAUGAAUUGACGG